This 34-nucleotide ribosomal RNA is filed under the name fungal sp. W804a. Its description in RNAcentral is "partial 17S ribosomal RNA". Lineage: Eukaryota; Fungi. The record is from RNAcentral.
GGUUUCCGUAGGUGAACCUGCGGAAGGAUCAUUC